This 637-nucleotide long non-coding RNA is filed under the name Homo sapiens (human). RNAcentral describes it as "non-protein coding lnc-KANK4-7:4". Lineage: Eukaryota; Metazoa; Chordata; Mammalia; Primates; Hominidae. The record is from RNAcentral.
ACUCGUUGGUGUCCUGUGGUUCGUCUCAGUCACUACAGGACCCUGGGGGGCUGUUGCCACCUCCGCCGGGGGCGAGGAGUCGCUUAAGUGCGAGGACCUCAAAGUGGGACAAUAUCCUCUGUGGAGAACACCCCCCCAUGGAGGCGAGAUCCAAAAAUAAAUGACGCUACGCAAGAACCAGUUAACUGUACAAACUACACAGCUCAUGUUUCCUGUUUUCCAGCACCCAACAUAACUUGUAAGGAUUCCAGUGGCAAUGAAACACAUUUUACUGGGAACGAAGUUGGUUUUUUCAAGCCCAUAUCUUGCCGAAAUGUAAAUGGCUAUUCCUACAAAGUGGCAGUCGCAUUGUCUCUUUUUCUUGGAUGGUUGGGAGCAGAUCGAUUUUACCUUGGAUACCCUGCUUUGGGUUUGUUAAAGUUUUGCACUGUAGGGUUUUGUGGAAUUGGGAGCCUAAUUGAUUUCAUUCUUAUUUCAAUGCAGGCUGGAGUGCAGUGGCGUGAUCAUAACUCAUUGCAGCCUCGAAUUCCUGGGUUCAAACAAUCUUCCUGCCUCAGCCUCCCAUCCAGUAUGGGAUAUUUUAAAAGAUUGUUGGACCUUCAGAUGGAAGUAGUUACAUUAUAGAUUACUAUGGAAC